GGUCCGCGAGCCCGGCCGCCAGCGGCGGACCUGCCUUCGCGCCGCUUCACCCCCCUCCCCCGCCCCUCGGCUGCGUCCCGCGCUGGGGGUGGGGGUGGCGGGACGCCCCGCGAGCGGAGCGGGGCGCCGAGCCCGGGGGAGGGGGAAGAUGGUGGCGGCCGUUGACGGUAUCAGGGCAGGCAACACUGAAAGGCUUUGGCUGUUGAUUGAUCCAUGCAAGUUCUGCUGCAACAUUUUUAGUUAAAAGGGCAGGUGCAAAUUAGACAACUUCUCUUGGGGAGCUACUGAACAUCUGGUCAUGUCAGGGUAAUGUCAAAGUGCUUACAGUGCAGGUAGUGAUAUAAGAACCUACUGCAGUGAAGGCACUUGUAGCAUUAUAUUGACAAGUGCCACGGGAGAUCUUGCAGAACUGCAGUAAUUUGCAAGGUACCAUGUGGUAUUAAGUGCUUUUUGUUCUAAGGUGCAUCUAGUGCAGAUAGUGAAGUAGAUUAGCAUCUACUGCCCUAAGUGCUCCUUCUGGCAUAAGAAGUUAUAUCUUCAUCCAGUCAAUCAGGCUGAUUAAGAAUGUAGAUGUUCCAGUAGCUGUCUGCUCUGCAGUCCUCUGUUAGUUUUGCAUAGUUGCACUACAAGAAGAAUGUAGUUGUGCAAAUCUAUGCAAAACUGAUGGUGGCCUGUUACUGUCUACAUCAAGAAAGCGAAUUUUAUUUACUGCUUAUGUAUUUUGGUGGUCUUGCUUUCAUAGCAGUUCCUUCGGUUUAGUAAAUAUGACAGCUUCUGUAGUACUAAAGUGCUUAUAGUGCAGGUAGUGUUCAGUAAUCUACUGCAUUAUGAGCACUUAAAGUACUGCUAGCUGUAGAACUACAACUUCAGCAUGCCUUCCUAUCAGACUAACUUUUUUGUUUUGUUGAACACUGUUCUCUGGUUAGUUUUGCAGGUUUGCAUCCAGCUGUAUGAUACUCUGCUGUGCAAAUCCAUGCAAAACUGACUGUGGCAGUGACAAGUCAGUGAAUAAGUGAGGAAAGUUGUACCCCUUUCUACACAGGUUGGGAUCAGUUGCAAUGCUGUGUGUGUCUGUAGUAUUGCACUUGUCCCGGCCUGUUGAGGUUGGUGGGGACAGAGGCUGCAACAUCUUCAGUAGUUUGAUUAUUUUAGGAAGUGAUACUGCAUUUUUCCAGAAAAUCCAAAUACCUAAUAACUUAUUUUCUGAACUGUUCCAUGUAAACUAAUGUAUGGCUGGACAUCAUAUGCCACAGACAUUUCUGUAUUUGUAAAUUCUUUGUGUAUGUUUACUAAAUUAAUGUUCAAUAACAGAGUCUCAUUUUUCUUUUGUGGGUUCCUCCUGUUGUAUUGAGUAUUUGCUUACAGUUAAUCCUCAGUAGCCAUGCUAAAGGGAAAUGGGUCAAAAAGCUUUUAGUUGUCAAAGAUCUUUCAUGCAAACUUUACUUAGCCUAGCCUGAGUCUGUAGCUGACACUAAAAUUGCAUAAAGAAGUCUGCAUUUUGUCUUACGACAGGUUUUUAGUUCACUUCUAAAAUUAUUUUUAAGUCCUUAAAAACCUCUUUUCUAAAUUGGCAAUAGAAUGAAUAUGUAAUUCUAACUUAAAAUUCCAUGCAAAAAUCUGUCAAAGGUUCCAGAAUGACAAGUUUAAAUCUGAAAGGCUAAAUCUGUCCUUCAGUCAUACUCUGGAAUUUUUUGUUUGAUCAUACAACAAAUGUCAUGUAUUAUACACCUUUCUAUAACCUUGCAUUUGUGUGUCGUAUCCCAGUUCUGUGAUUGUGUUUCGGUCACAUAAAUACUAAGUAAACCAUUAAUACAGUACCUUUCAUAUGUAAAAGAAUAACAAAAGUGCAGCAUACCUAGGCCAUCUAAAAUACCAUUAUAAUUAAAUGCUUUAUCCUUUUGAAUUCUAUCUAAGGAAGAUGAUUGGGUGAAAAAGUAUAUGGUAACUUGCUAAUUGAAAUAGACAUAUUAUCUCUAAGGUAGGUAAGUCUCUCAAUAGAUUGACCCAUUGCAUGUUUCCCUAAACUUCACACAGUCCUGGUUGUGCAGUCCAUCCUACCAUUGCUCCAAGUUUGUUACUAAUGUUUUUUUUUAAAGAAACAGCUUUAAAACAGUAUUAUCAAAGGCUUAAAGCUACAAGAAUAAAGCCAAUUUGUGUUCCAGUGUAAA
Molecule: long non-coding RNA, 2168 nt
Organism: Chelonia mydas (Green sea turtle)
Lineage: Eukaryota; Metazoa; Chordata; Testudines; Cheloniidae
Exons: 3
Source: RefSeq, a predicted model, not a curated record